RNAcentral lists this ribosomal RNA (468 nucleotides) under uncultured bacterium. RNAcentral describes it as "partial 16S ribosomal RNA". It matches the Rfam family "Bacterial small subunit ribosomal RNA", at positions 28 to 507 of the family's 1533-position model. The record is from RNAcentral.
GACGAACGCUGGCGGCGUGCUUAACACAUGCAAGUCGAACGGAAAGGCCCUGCUUUUGUCGGGUGCUCGAGUGGCGAACGGGUGAGUAACACGUGAGUAACCUGCCCUUGACUUUGGGAUAACUUCAGGAAACUGGGGCUAAUACCGGAUAGGAGCUCCUGCUGCAUGGUGGGGGUUGGAAAGUUUCGGCGGUUGGGGAUGGACUCGCGGCUUAUCAGCUUGUUGGUGGGGUAGUGGCUUACCAAGGCUUUGACGGGUAGCCGGCCUGAGAGGGUGACCGGCCACAUGGGGACUGAGAUACGGCCCAGACUCCUACGGGAGGCAGCAGUGGGGAAUAUUGCACAAUGGGCGGAAGCCUGAUGCAGCAACGCCGCGUGCGGGAUGACGGCCUUCGGGUUGUAAACCGCUUUCGCCUGUGACGAAGCGUGAGUGACGGUAAUGGGUAAAGAAGCACCGGCUAACUACGUG